Molecule: ribosomal RNA, 291 nt
Filed under: uncultured bacterium
Lineage: Bacteria
Description: partial 16S ribosomal RNA
Rfam family: Bacterial small subunit ribosomal RNA
Source: RNAcentral
GUGGAUUAGAUACCCUAGUAGUCCACGCCCUAAACGAUGUCAACUAGUUGUCGGAUCUAAUUAAGGAUUUGGUAACGUAGCUAACGCGUGAAGUUGACCGCCUGGGGAGUACGGUCGCAAGAUUAAAACUCAAAGGAAUUGACGGGGACCCGCACAAGCGGUGGAUUAUGUGGAUUAAUUCGAUGCAACGCGAAAAACCUUACCUACCCUUGACAUGCUUGGAAUCUCGUGGAGACAUGAGAGUGCCCGAAAGGGAGCCAAGACACAGGUGCUGCACGGCCGUCGCCAACG